Molecule: ribosomal RNA, 452 nt
Filed under: uncultured bacterium
Lineage: Bacteria
Description: partial 16S ribosomal RNA
Rfam family: Bacterial small subunit ribosomal RNA
Source: RNAcentral
GAUGAACGCUGGCGGCGUGCCUAACACAUGCAAGUCGAACGAUUUACUUCUGUAAAGAUCGGCGGACGGGGUGGUAACCCGUUGGUAACCUCCCCUGUACACACGCCUAACCUACCGAAUGGUUUGCUAAUACUAGAUAUUAUACUUUUAUCGCACUCUAGCUGUAUCAAAGGUUUUGCGGUACAGGAUGGACUCGCGUCUGAUUAGCUAGUUGGUGGUGUAACGGCUCACCAAGGCGACGAUCAGUCGCCGACCUGAGAACGUGAUGGGCCACAUUGGAGAUGAGACACGGACCAAUAUGCGAGGGAAGGGAGGAGAAGGGAAUAUUGCACAAGGGGGGAAGGCGUGACGAAGCAACGUGGCGGAAGAGAGGAAUGGGGUCGGGAAGCAAAGUUGUGUCCGAAAGGAAGAUAAUGACGGUACUUGGGAAAGAAGCACCGGCUAACUACGUG